Molecule: ribosomal RNA, 825 nt
Filed under: uncultured bacterium
Lineage: Bacteria
Description: bacterial SSU rRNA
Rfam family: Bacterial small subunit ribosomal RNA
Source: RNAcentral
GGGUGCGUAAUGCGUAUGCAAUCUACCUUUUACAGAGGGAUAGCCCAGAGAAAUUUGGAUUAAUACCUCAUAGUAUUAUUGAAUGGCAUCAUUUAAUAAUUAAAGUCACAACGGUAAAAGAUGAGCAUGCGUCCCAUUAGCUUGUUGGUAAGGUAACGGCUUACCAAGGCAACGAUGGGUAGGGGUCCUGAGAGGGAGAUCCCCCACACUGGUACUGAGACACGGACCAGACUCCUACGGGAGGCAGCAGUGAGGAAUAUUGGUCAAUGGGCGCAAGCCUGAACCAGCCAUGCCGCGUGCAGGAUGAAGCAUCUAUGGUGUGUAAACUGCUUUUGUACGAGAAGAAACACUCCUACGUGUAGGAGCUUGACGGUAUCGUAAGAAUAAGGACCGGCUAACUCCGUGCCAGCAGCCGCGGUAAUACGGAGGGUCCAAGCGUUAUCCGGAAUCAUUGGGUUUAAAGGGUCCGUAGGCGGUUUUGUAAGUCAGUGGUGAAAGCCCAUCGCUCAACGGUGGAACGGCCAUUGAUACUGCAAGACUUGAAUUAUUAGGAAGUAACUAGAAUAUGUAGUGUAGCGGUGAAAUGCUUAGAGAUUACAUGGAAUACCAAUUGCGAAGGCAGGUUACUACUAAUGGAUUGACGCUGAUGGACGAAAGCGUGGGGAGCGAACAGGAUUAGAUACCCUGGUAGUCCACGCCGUAAACGAUGGAUACUAGCUGUUCGGAGCAAUCUGAGUGGCUAAGCGAAAGUGAUAAGUAUCCCACCUGGGGAGUACGUUCGCAAGAAUGAAACUCAAAGGAAUUGACGGGGGCCCGCACAAGCGG